AAUAAUGGCGCAGACAUUAACAAACAACGCAUGUGGCUAGGCAGACAUCCAGAUGAUUAUCGGGCUCACAAAGGUUUCAAUGUGUAUUUAAUUGCAGACACACAAUGUUCAGUGCGAGGGAAUGGAGCCGGAAGAACUCUUUUUUAACUAGAGUGCAACGUCUUUUCAAUCAAAUUGGAUACAAAUAUGGGAGUGCCCUACGUGAGAUGACUUAUUAGAUUUAAUUUGUAUGUAUUUGACCUCAAGAAGGCAAUAAUUUGAUUGGCUAACGGAAAGUUUUAGGCGCAACUUUGAAAAUGCACCUGGGAUGGCUACGAAAGUCUGGGAUCAAUUGCGGCAUGAAAUACCCGAUAAUUGGCCAAUUGCAUUGGGACACCGCGGCGAUGGACUGUAAUGCAGCGUAAUGUUAAUACUUACAACGUCUGCCCACACGGGUUGCUAUAUACCGAUCGGCUGUGGAUCGGUAGAUCGGGGGAUUGGAGCACAACCCACUUAACGAGGUCGGGCCCAUAGCAGCACGUAGCCAUUACCCAUAUAAUGCGGUGGUGCAGCCAGCCGAACAUUACAACGAAACCUCGAAAACGAGACCAUAGCAAAAUAUCAAGUAUACGGGUCUGCUCGCCCGCUUAUCGGCCUGUUGUUGCGGUAAUUAUAAUGCGCCAUAGUCACGCCAGACACGCUGCAUAAAUAUUUAAAUUAAAUAAUAACAAAUGCUAGAAAUAAAUAAGCCGGGCAACUGUAAAAACAAUACGUAAUGGCAACAAAGGCGCACACGGGCAAAUAUUAAUAUUAACCGGCGUCGAAUUCCAAUUGACUAAU
This is a long non-coding RNA of Drosophila takahashii, 819 nucleotides long. RefSeq lists it as uncharacterized. The record is from RefSeq and is a predicted model, not a curated record. NCBI's taxonomy places the organism in Eukaryota, Metazoa, Arthropoda, Insecta, Diptera, Drosophilidae.